This 75-nucleotide transfer RNA is filed under the name Candidatus Saccharimonadota bacterium. RNAcentral describes it as "tRNA-Arg". It matches the Rfam family "tRNA". Rfam says of the family: Transfer RNA (tRNA) molecules are approximately 80 nucleotides in length. Lineage: Bacteria; Candidatus Saccharimonadota. The record is from RNAcentral.
GCCCCCAUAGUUCAAUGGAUAGAAUAUCUCCGUCCUAAGGUGCAGAUCUGCGUUCGAAUCGCGGUGGGGGCACCA